Molecule: long non-coding RNA, 1003 nt
Organism: Ailuropoda melanoleuca (giant panda)
Lineage: Eukaryota; Metazoa; Chordata; Mammalia; Carnivora; Ursidae
Source: Ensembl
CAGCAGAGGGUUAGGCAUGUUCCAAGAGCUUAAUAAUGUUAGUUAAAUAAAUCAAGAGUGGGAAUGUCCCUGUCCCAAAUGAUGAUACCCAGAAAAAAACAACAAAAAUGCCAGCUACAGCUAAAGCUCCGUACUUUCUCCUGCAGUCCCCAAACUACCGUACAUACAGAGAUCCACCAAACCUAGACCCAAGAAAACCACAAAGGCAGUGAUGUUUUUCAAGAUGGGGAGCAGGCAGCUGUAUAACUGGAACCUCACGUCCUCGCCCCAACCUCAUUCUUCCCACCCCUUCCUGGCAAGAAACCCCCAAGCAUUUAAGUAAGAGAAAAGCCCAAAAACAUGUUAAAAGGGUCCACUGGGGCAACAAGCUUGCAGUUUGAGGCCAAAGGACAGCAACUGGCAGCUCACCUGGGCAGCUAGGCACACACGGGGAUGGACUCCCCAACUGCUCGCCGGUUGCAGUGUUGAUGGGGGAGGGGAGAAGAGGGAAAAAAACGGUUCUUUCCGCUCAGCGUCGCACCGAGGACCCGGAUCCCAAAGCAGUAGUCCACGCAGAGGCUGUGUCACGUCGUGCGUAAAAGGCCUUAUCGGAUCGUUCCCACCAGCUUGCACAAGAUGAAUUGGUGUGAGGCCGCAGGUCUUCGCCAACCGUCGCAGCCAGCUCUCGUCCUAAUGGCGGCUGCCGCUAGCGGGCAGCAACAGGCGCCUUUAUGGGAGACCGGCGGCGGGCAGCCUGCCCAUUGGCCUGAGCGUGUCACGUGGCCAAGCCCGGAGCCGGCGGCCGCGAAGGUGCCUGAGGUCUCAGCAGGGCUACCAGGGCUUGGGCCGGGGUUGGUCUUUCACCGGAUGUUUACCACAUGUGGAGCUUAGCAUGAAGAAUCAGCAUGAGUCAAGAAUAUCCCACCCCAAUACCCUUUGAAACAUUUUUAUGUGGUUCCAUGAAAUGGUGUAUAUUUAAUAAAUGCCACGAUGGCCUUGCUGAGGUUCUUGUUUACAGACAAUC